Molecule: long non-coding RNA, 1965 nt
Organism: Canis lupus familiaris (dog)
Lineage: Eukaryota; Metazoa; Chordata; Mammalia; Carnivora; Canidae
Exons: 2
Source: RefSeq, a predicted model, not a curated record
UCUCACAAAAUAUCAACCAGUGACCAUAUCUUCAACAGAGAAGGGUGGGAGUGCCUACUGAAAUGGCAGCACACAGAAGGGACCACUCCUGUCUCUGAGUGGGGGAGGGCAUCAGAAUCUUCUAAGAAAUGUCCUAGAAGAAGCAUCAUUUAUGUUAAGUCUUGAAGGAUGAAAGGAAUUCUUGCCGAUGGAGAAAGAGGCUUUGCCUUUAGAAGCUGGGGAAUCGGAGUAAUUGAGACCUUAUAAUCCCUUCCUGCAUCCCAAGGUGAAAGCCCCGGAGAGCAGAUUACAGGACUUCCAACAUUUUAAAGAUCUUAGAUCUGAUAUCAUCGAGGAAAGAAUUGGAAAACUAGGGUAACUGCUUGAUUGAUAUACAUAAGGCCAACUGGGUAAAACCAUCGCCCAGAAACUGCAUUUCCAGCGUGGUCUCCAGUGGUAUUUGGCGCAGGGAUUAUUCAGUGCAAUGGAUGAAGCUUGUUGAUUACUAUUUAGCAGAAUGGCAUGGUGAUCUACGUUUGUUUGCCUGAUACAGUAAAUACCAACCGUUCUUUCAUUGCUAUUAUCAAAAAGCCCCAGAGGUUGUGGUUAUUGGCAGUUCUAUUCCAGUUAUGCACAUUGCAUGAAAAAUGCUUUCCACGUUUGAAUAAAGUGAGGUUUAGGUGAUGUGAGUGGUGGUCAUGGCUUAUAUUUGGCACUACCAAAUGCUACCCUCUUUAGGUAUAUAAUCCCACUACUCGAUGCAUGAGAUGUAUAUUUAUUUAAGACAAGAAAUAUGAUGAUGAUAAUAUAGGGCUUAGGGCUUUUCCUUUUUAGCACCUUAUAUCAAAUAUUUGCUGAUCAAUACAAUUCAGGUACAUACUGAAUAUUUAUUCUAUAUUUCUUGCUUCUUAAUUGUAAUUGUAUAAAGUUCAGUACUGCCCAUUUACUGGAGGAACUAAUGAAUUUUUGUAAAAAUAGUUCACUAUGAAACUUGAGGUUUAUUUUGGAGUCUAGACUAGUUCUUUUUGCACUUGUACACAUAAUAGAAAAACUACCAAACAAGAGUUAAAUAUUUCCUAACAAUACUAAGCUCAGAAAAGAGCUUACAUAGCACUUUUUCUGCUUGCUUUACAUUUAUAUUUGUGUCACAAUACAAAUAGGGCUUUUACAGUCUAAGAUUAAUGCUAUGGUUUUCUGUGUUCAUUCUAUAUCAUCCAAACUGCAGUUGGACCAAACAACAACAAAAAAUAAUCAACCAAAUGCUGAACAACUCAUUGUGAAAAUAUUCAUGGAUGCUCCCAGUCAAUACCAGAAAAAAAAGAAAGUCCCAGAAUAUACGCAUAAGUCACCAUUUUUAUUUUGGUAAAACUUCAGGGAACUGUUGUGAUGAUUCUCUAUAAAUAAUCUAUGGACAGCUCUGUCAGAGAUUAGCUCCAGGCAGCUAGUUUUUAUGGAACACUUUUAUCAUCAUCAUUAGUAGUAGUGGUAAUGUAAUUAAUAAUAUUAGCACCUGAAUCUAAAGUCAAGGAGAUCAUCCAUUUGAUAUGGGAGAGGGCUGUUUUUCAGUUUACAUCUAAAGUUUUCCACUGGUUCUGAAACAGCUGAUUAAAAAGUAAUGAAAACUAAUAACCUAAUUGCUCUGCCUCCAAGUAUCAUCAUUGGCUUAGCACACACAACCAGUAGUGGGAGAUUAAAUGGCAGGCUCAAGGUCUGUUUAAUCUAACUACUGCUAAUCUUUACUUGUCAGAUGUAAUUUGCUCUAUGGCAACUCUGCUCAGAAAACCACCUCUUUUGGAAGUAAAAUGUCUACUGGUGUUAACACAGGUCUCCUUUUUAAAUAGAAACAACUGUGGUACAGAAAACAAGAAUGAUUUUAGGUUUAAGAAAGUAGAGUUCAUGAAUCCUUUAACCAUGUCGAUAGGAGUAAAUGUUUCCAAUGCAGAGCAAUAAAGGCAAAAGUCAAGAAAUAAAUUGCAUAUCGUUAUA